GUGCUCGCUUCGGCAGCACAUAUACUAAAAUUGGAAUGAUACAGAAAAGAUUAGCAUGACUCCUGUGCAAGGAUGACACACAAAUUCGGGAAGCAUUCCAUAUUUUU
Molecule: small nuclear RNA, 107 nt
Organism: Capra hircus (goat)
Lineage: Eukaryota; Metazoa; Chordata; Mammalia; Artiodactyla; Bovidae
Source: Ensembl